This 1050-nucleotide unclassified non-coding RNA is filed under the name Hevea brasiliensis (rubber tree). Lineage: Eukaryota; Viridiplantae; Streptophyta; Magnoliopsida; Malpighiales; Euphorbiaceae. The record is from RNAcentral.
CUUCCCAAGUGGUUAAAGAUUGUUGAUCUUUCUGCAGACUUCCGACUAGGAGAUAUUUCUGAGUAUGAAGAAUGGUAUGGUCAGCCGCACAGAGCACCAGAUUUGCAGGAAGAAGCCAUAUAUGGUUUGACAGAGAUUUUCAGAGAGAAAAUAAAAAAUGCUCGUCUGGUUGCUAAUCCUGGUUGUUAUCCAACAUCACUUCCUCUUGUUCCUUUGAUAAAGGCUAAUCUCAUUGAAUUUAAAAAUAUAAUUAUUGAUUCAAAAUCUGGUGUCAGUGGAGCAGGACGUGGUGCAAAGGUGGCAAAUCUGUAUACUGAAUUAACAGAAGGAAUUAUGUCUUAUGGUGUUACAAGGCAUCGACAUGUUCCAGAGAUUGAACAGGGACUAUCUGAUGCUGCAGGUUCAAAAGUAACUGUCAGUUUCACCCCACACUUGAUGCCAAUGAGCCGUGGUAUGCAGUCAACUAUAUAUGUGGAAAUGGCUCCAGGAGUAACGACUGAGGAUUUGUACCAGCAAUUGAAGCUUUCCUAUGAGGAUGAAGAAUUUGUCAAGUUAUUGGAGAAAGGAGUUGUUCCUCGCACUCAUGAUGUUCGAGGUUCUAAUUAUUGCUACAUGAAUGUCUUUCCUGAUCGAAUUUCUGGUAGAGCAAUAAUUAUAUCAGUUAUUGAUAAUCUUUUGAAGGGAGCUUCUGGCCAAGCUGUACAAAAUCUAAAUAUAAUGAUGGGAUUUCCCGAAAAUACAGGGCUAAGCUACCUACCCUUGUUUCCUUGACAUCUUUUAUUCCUCAUCCCCAGAGCAGUUGUUGCAGGUAUCAUGGAAUNCAUGGAAUGCAACUUUUUCUUUCUGAAAGCUCCACUGUCUUGAAGGUCUGGAAAUAAGUUAACCGCUGAGUGUUACUAGGAACAUGGGCCAACUUCGUAAGAUGAGAUAUGCAAUUAGAUGAUAGAAACUUAUCCACGGGAGAUUAUUUACUUGCCAAAGUUGUAAUGAUUCCUGCUAUUGUCAUGGCCCAAUUUGUGUUUUUUAAUCUUAAUUUCAUUGGGCAAAAAA